RNAcentral lists this ribosomal RNA (497 nucleotides) under uncultured bacterium. Its description in RNAcentral is "partial 16S ribosomal RNA". It matches the Rfam family "Bacterial small subunit ribosomal RNA", at positions 28 to 507 of the family's 1533-position model. The record is from RNAcentral.
GAUGAACGCUGGCGGCGUGUCUAAUACAUGCAAGUCGAGCGAACAGAUGAGGAGCUUGCUCCUCUGACGUUAGCGGCGGACGGGUGAGUAACACGUGGAUAACCUACCUAUAAGACUGGGAUAACUUCGGGAAACCGGAGCUAAUACCGGAUAAUAUAUUGAACCGCAUGGUUCAAUAGUGAAAGACGGUUUUGCUGUCACUUAUAGAUGGAUCCGCGCCGCAUUAGCUAGUUGGUAAGGUAACGGCUUACCAAGGCAACGAUGCGUAGCCGACCUGAGAGGGUGAUCGGCCACACUAGAACUGAGACACGGUCCAGACUCCUACGGGAGGCAGAAGUAGGGAAUCUUCCGCAAUGGGCGAAAGCUUGACGGAGCAACGCCGCGUGAGUGAUGAAGGUCUUCGGAUCGUAAAACUCUGUUAUUAGGGAAGAACAAAUGUGUAAGUAACUAUGCACGUCUUGACGGUACCUAAUCAGAAAGCCACGGCUAACUACGUG